GAAGGUGGCCUGUGAGGGUUGCUGGAGGUAUCAGAAGUGCGAAUGCUGACAUAAGUAACGAUAAAGCGGGUGAAAAGCCCGCUCGCCGGAAGACCAAGGGUUCCUGUCCAACGUUAAUCGGGGCAGGGUGAGUCGACCCCUAAGGCGAGGCCGAAAGGCGUAGUCGAUGGGAAACGGGUUAAUAUUCCCGUACUUGGUGUUACUGCGAAGGGGGGACGGAGAAGGCUAUGUUGGCCGGGCGACGGUUGUCCCGGUUUAAGCGUGUAGGCUGGUUUUCCAGGCAAAUCCGGAAAAUCAAGGCUGAGGCGUGACGACGAGGCACUACGGUGCUGAAGCAACAAAUGCCCUGCUUCCAGGAAAAGCCUCUAAGCAUCAGGUAACAUCAAAUCGUACCCCAAACCGACACAGGUGGUCAGGUAGAGAAUACCAAGGCGCUUGAGAGAACUCGGGUGAAGGAACUAGGCAAAAUGGUGCCGUAACUUCGGGAGAAGGCACGCUGACACGUAGGUGAAGUGAUUUACUCAUGGAGCUGAAGUCAGUCGAAGAUACCAGCUGGCUGCAACUGUUUAUUAAAAACACAGCACUGUGCAAACACGAAAGUGGACGUAUACGGUGUGACGCCUGCCCGGUGCCGGAAGGUUAAUUGAUGGGGUCAGCGCAAGCGAAGCUCCUGAUCGAAGCCCCGGUAAACGGCGGCCGUAACUAUAACGGUCCUAAGGUAGCGAAAUUCCUUGUCGGGUAAGUUCCGACCUGCACGAAUGGCGUAAUGAUGGCCAGGCUGUCUCCACCCGAGACUCAGUGAAAUUGAACUCGCUGUGAAGAUGCAGUGUACCCGCGGCAAGACGGAAAGACCCCGUGAACCUUUACUAUAGCUUGACACUGAACAUUGAGCCUUGAUGUGUAGGAUAGGUGGGAGGCUUUGAAGUGUGGACGCCAGUCUGCAUGGAGCCGACCUUGAAAUACCACCCUUUAAUGUUUGAUGUUCUAACGUGGACCCGUAAUCCGGGUUGCGGACAGUGUCUGGUGGGUAGUUUGACUGGGGCGGUCUCCUCCUAAAGAGUAACGGAGGAGCACGAAGGUUGGCUAAUCCUGGUCGGACAUCAGGAGGUUAGUGCAAUGGCAUAAGCCAGCUUGACUGCGAGCGUGACGGCGCGAGCAGGUGCGAAAGCAGGUCAUAGUGAUCCGGUGGUUCUGAAUGGAAGGGCCAUCGCUCAACGGAUAAAAGGUACUCCGGGGAUAACAGGCUGAUACCGCCCAAGAGUUCAUAUCGACGGCGGUGUUUGGCACCUCGAUGUCGGCUCAUCACAUCCUGGGGCUGAAGUAGGUCCCAAGGGUAUGGCUGUUCGCCAUUUAAAGUGGUACGCGAGCUGGGUUUAGAACGUCGUGAGACAGUUCGGUCCCUAUCUGCCGUGGGCGCUGGAGAACUGAGGGGGGCUGCUCCUAGUACGAGAGGACCGGAGUGGACGCAUCACUGGUGUUCGGGUUGUCAUGCCAAUGGCACUGCCCGGUAGCUAAAUGCGGAAGAGAUAAGUGCUGAAAGCAUCUAAGCACGAAACUUGCCCCGAGAUGAGUUCUCCCUGAGACUUAGAGUCUCCUGAAGGAACGUUGAAGACGACGACGUUGAUAGGCCGGGUGUGUAAGCGCAGCGAUGCGUUGAGCUAACCGGUACUAAUGAACCGUGAGGCUUAACCUU
This 1693-nucleotide ribosomal RNA is filed under the name Salmonella enterica subsp. enterica serovar Meleagridis. RNAcentral describes it as "partial 23S ribosomal RNA". It matches the Rfam family "Bacterial large subunit ribosomal RNA", at positions 1252 to 2925 of the family's 2925-position model. Lineage: Bacteria; Pseudomonadati; Pseudomonadota; Gammaproteobacteria; Enterobacterales; Enterobacteriaceae. The record is from RNAcentral.